AGAUACCCUAUUAUUUUGAAUUUAAAUCGUUUAUUCCUGAUUAGUAGUAGCUAUGUUCUUGAAAAUUAAAGAUUUUGGCGGUACUUUAGUCUGUUCAGAGGAACCUGUCCUGUAAUCGAUAGUCCACGAGUUUUUUUACUUUUUCUUUAAGUUUAUAUAUCGUCGUAGUUUGAAUAUUUUAUCAGGAUUUUAAUAUUCAUAACUUAUUUUUUAAAAUAAUUCAGAUCAAGGUGUGGCUGAUGAAAAAGAAAGUGAUGGGUUACAUUAAAUUUAUUUGGGGAUGAUUUUCUUUAAAAUGAUCUGAACUUGGAUUUGAUAGUAAUUUUAAUUAUUCUAUUAAAAUGAUUUUGGCUCUAAAGUAUGCACAUAUCGC
This 373-nucleotide ribosomal RNA is filed under the name Enaphalodes atomarius. RNAcentral's name for it is "partial 12S ribosomal RNA". Lineage: Eukaryota; Metazoa; Arthropoda; Insecta; Coleoptera; Cerambycidae. The record is from RNAcentral.